CUUUGUAGAGAAUUACAAAUAACGGUUUUCAUAGACGAUUUGCUCUUAGAUACGGA
Molecule: small RNA, 56 nt
Filed under: Vibrio cholerae O1 biovar El Tor str. N16961
Lineage: Bacteria; Pseudomonadati; Pseudomonadota; Gammaproteobacteria; Vibrionales; Vibrionaceae
Source: RNAcentral